Long non-coding RNA from Aptenodytes forsteri (emperor penguin), 2945 nucleotides. RefSeq lists it as uncharacterized. The record is from RefSeq and is a predicted model, not a curated record. The transcript has 2 exons. NCBI's taxonomy places the organism in Eukaryota, Metazoa, Chordata, Aves, Sphenisciformes, Spheniscidae.
CCUUCUAGGUUUACAGAGGAGGCCAAGAAGGAACGACAUCCCUUUGCAUACCUGCCCUUUGGGGCAGGACCCCGUGGCUGCAUUGGCAUGAAGAUGGGUUUGCUGGAGACAAAAAUGACUCUGCUGAGGAUUUUGCAGAAGUUUCAAUUUAAGACCUGCUCAGAGACUGAGAUUCCUUUGCAGCUGAAAUCAAAAGCCACACUUGGACCAAAAAAUGGAGUCUACAUUAUGCUGGAAUCUCGCUAAAAGAAAAUGUACAUCCUGAAACCUCCUGGGAUUGGCAGCCCUUGUUCAGUGACUCAGUGGGUAUAAUUGUUUUUCAAAACCCCAAAGACAGGUAGGAGCCUAAGUCCCACUGAUGGUCAGCAGGUGCUGCCUCACUGCCCUCCUGUGGGACAUCCUCCAGUCACUUCUUAAAAUGAGAUGUGGGCUCCAUAGCCAUUUGGUGGUUUUCAGAUUGCUGUGAAUAGUAUCUGCAAAGAAGCAUCCCACUUUCACUUGCUAUUCUACAUUACACUUCCUUUCACUCAUCUUUGAGAAUGCUUUUUUCAUGCUCAAGUUCAAUGAAUGGAGCAGGUGUUAAGCGUACACUAGAUUUACAAUAGAUUUUAAUUACCAUUCAUUAUCUCACACAUCCUUCUCAUGCACUUCUAAGUCCCUACUCUAGAAAAAGCCCAAGAGGCACCACAGUUAUAGCAGAAGACCUGGGAUCCAGUACAUUGGAUUUUAUCCUGAACUCUGCUAAAAAUCAAAGCAGAGUCUCCUGUACAAUGCUUAAUCUCUCCCUGUGUCUGUAAAGUGGAAGGAGUUGCACCUUCUUCGUGCUUUUGAAGUGAUUUGAAAUAUGCUUAGAUUAACAAUUUGCACUUGGCACAUUGCAUCGACAUAAUUGGAGAGGAAUGAAGAGUUCCCCUGUUUACCAGUUAAGUUCCAGUAGCUAAGACCAAAGAAAUGAGGUGGCAGCCGUUUUGCUGGUUACUGAACUGCUGUUGGAAAGGUGGAGAAAAGAAGAUACAAAUUUAAUGAAAGCAGGAAGACUGGAGGAAAUUUAAGGGUAUUCAGAAGGUGUUGGUACAACAUCUGCUUCACUGCUUUGAGGCCUUUCCUUUCCAAGCAUUGCAGUUGGCACCAUCCUUGUCUAGCUCAUUGACUCAAGGACAUUAAGAGCGCUGCAUGCACUGAAGCCAAUGGCAAGGGAGUGGGAUCCAGGAUCAUCAGUCCCAGCAGCUCUUGAUUCCUCAUGUGACCCCGGAGCAGGUCAUGUCCCAAAUGUCUCACUCCAAUCAGGAAGGAACUUCUCUGAUUGCCAGCUGCAGCAGCACCAUAGAUCCAUUCAAGCUGUAUGGCUGUGCACAUGCAUCUACACAGCCAAAGCAGUACGCUUUCACGCUUCGCAUUCCCUCCAUGCUCUUUCCUACUCCUUGACAAAGCCCUUCAAUCACCACACAGCUAGUGGAGCAUCACACAGCAGUGAUCGAUUGACCUGAAAAAAAGACAUUUCCUUCACUGGGCACCACAAACUGGUUGGCUGUACAACAAAACCAUGAGAGGAGAUGGUCUCAGUCUCAGGGUCCUUUGUUUUUCUUUUUUUUUUUUUAAGUUUUUAUAAAUAGCAAAAAUUCUUAUGGCACCAUAAGAAUAAGGAAGCACCUUUCGGUUCUUUGCAAGUGUUGAAUUUCUGCUUGCUGGCAUAUUCUGCUCGAGGUUUCCUUAGGAACAGCAUCUGUCUUGGUGGUACGCACAGAGAAGUGUCAUGGCAGCAGUAGGAAGAGACUGACUGCUCAGCUUCACUGCAAGGAUUGCUGGAAGGAGCCAUCUGCUCACUGAUCCCUAGCUGUAGUUUCUCUCCAGCAAGCACCUUUUGCUGCCGUCUUCCCACACGCUGCCUUAACACUGAUCAAAUUACUGUUUCUUGCUCCUGGAAGAUUUUGUCUUUUUCUUUCAUGGGAUUUUUUUUUUUUUUUAAACCAGAACUGUGCAGGUAGUUGUGGUGAAGUACUGACCUGGCAGUCUUGGAAUUGUUCCUAUUUAUUUCCACGGAGCACCGCUGGCAUGCUAAUAAAGUGCCCUGUUACAGACACACUGGUUAUAUGAAUUACUGAUGGAGUGAUUGUUAUUUAUUUGAAAAGCAAUAUACUGUAUAUACCCUAAUUUCUACACAUUAUCCAUCAUUUUUCCCUCAUGAAAGUAGUGUGCUGGCAGCUGAUUUACUGUACAGCUUAUACAUACAACUGGCAAAAAGUUGGAUGGGCCUUGCCUAAAAACAUCCCACCUACCUGAAUGAGCAGGAAGCUCAUUCCAGUCUGAAGUUAGCUGUCAAAGGCUUGUUUGCCCCUUCAAAAAUAUCCUGUUAAUCACAGUGUGUUUGUGCACCCAUAUAACACAGUCCCAAACCGAUCCUGAGCAGAGUUGGCUUUAGUAUUCAUUAGAAAAAAACUACUAAAAAAGGAGUUAUGUUUAUACUUGCAACAUCAAAACAUAACUUUAUAUCUUUAAGUUAUGGUGAUUUAGCAUUUGUGGUACAGCACGCUUCAAUCAACAGCGGUUGAUUCUAGGGAGGAACAAGGAAGCCAAUUUAAAAUAACUUCUCUCCUCAGAAAGAGUAAAUGUGUUGUCUUGCAUUGCUGAGCCGUGGGUUUGUUUCAAAUUGGGCAUGUCUGUUUUACAAAAGGGUCUUAGUCAUUCUCUGACAGCUGAUACAAAGCAAAGGAUGCUUGGUAAAGGAAAGCUUCUAUUAAAAACAUCUUCUGGGACUUUGCAAUGAUUACAGAAAGCUGUCAGUAUAAAGUAUUUUUAAUGAGUGCUGAGAGAGAAAAACCUUUACAGUUCUGUACUUCAUAAAUAGUUUUCCUGGAAAAACAGAGCUGGGUGUUAAAAAUUAUUAUGCUUGAUUGAUUGUAAAUUUGAACCGUCUAUUCUUACCUGGCAUUAAACUGCAGAAUUUC